RNAcentral lists this ribosomal RNA (482 nucleotides) under uncultured bacterium. RNAcentral describes it as "partial 16S ribosomal RNA". It matches the Rfam family "Bacterial small subunit ribosomal RNA", at positions 30 to 507 of the family's 1533-position model. The record is from RNAcentral.
AUUGAACGCUGGCGGCAUGCUUUACACAUGCAAGUCGAACGGUAGCAGGCCGCAAGGUGCUGACGAGUGGCGAACGGGUGAGUAAUGCAUCGGAACGUGCCCUGUCGUGGGGGAUAACUACUCGAAAGAGUAGCUAAUACCGCAUACGAUCUAUGGAUGAAAGCGGGGGACCGUAAGGCCUCGCGCGAUUGGAGCGGCCGAUGUCAGAUUAGGUAGUUGGUGGGGUAAAGGCUCACCAAGCCAACGAUCUGUAGCUGGUCUGAGAGGACGACCAGCCACACUGGGACUGAGACACGGCCCAGACUCCUACGGGAGGCAGCAGUGGGGAAUUUUGGACAAUGGGCGCAAGCCUGAUCCAGCAAUGCCGCGUGCAGGAAGAAGGCCUUCGGGUUGUAAACUGCUUUUGUACGGAACGAAACGGCUCUGGUUAAUACCCGGGGCUAAUGACGGUACCGGAAGAAUAAGCACCGGCUAACUACGUG